UACGUAGGUGGCAAGCGUUAUACGGAAUUAUUGGGCGUAAAGCGCGCGCAGGUGGUUUCUUAAGUCUGAUGUGAAAGCCCACGGCUCAACCGUGGAGGGUCAUUGGAAACUGGGAGACUUGAGUGCAGGAGAGGAAAGUGGAAUUCCAAGUGUAGCGGUGAAAUGCGUAGAGAUUUGGAGGAACACCAGUGGCGAAGGCGACUUUCUGGCCUGUAACUGACACUGAGGAGCGAAAGCGUGGGGAGCAAACAGG
This 253-nucleotide ribosomal RNA is filed under the name uncultured bacterium. Its description in RNAcentral is "partial 16S ribosomal RNA". It matches the Rfam family "Bacterial small subunit ribosomal RNA", at positions 524 to 776 of the family's 1533-position model. The record is from RNAcentral.